GGAAGGAGAUGGUAGUGUGUCAGGGUCUAGUCCACGUUCUGAUAUCAGCCAGCCAGCAUCUCAAGAUGGAAUGCGUAGGCUUAUGUCUAAAAGAGGAAAAUGGAAGAUGUUUGUUCGAGCUACCAGUCCAGAAUCUACCAGUAGGAGUUCUAGUAAAACUGGACGAGAUACUCCAGAAAAUGGAGAAACUGCAAUUGGUGCUGAAAAUUCAGAAAAAAUAGAUGAGAAUUCAGAUAAAGAGAUGGAAGUAGAAGAAUCUCCAGAGAAAAUAAAAGUACAGACAACACCAAAAGUAGAAGAAGAACAGGAUUUGAAAUUUCAGAUUGGAGAACUGGCAAAUACCCUGACAAGUAAAUUUGAGUUUCUAGGCAUUAAUAGACAAUCCAUCUCCAACUUUCAUGUGCUGCUCUUACAGACUGAGACUCGAAUUGCAGACUGGCGGGAAGGGGCUCUUAAUGGAAACUACCUUAAACGAAAACUUCAGGAUGCAGCAGAACAACUAAAACAGUAUGAAAUAAACGCCACUCCUAAAGGCUGGUCCUGCCACUGGGACAGGUACGCACUCUUCUCCCCUUUUCACCUUUCACCUUUGACAUCUCAGACAUGAUUU
Molecule: small RNA, 610 nt
Filed under: Pan troglodytes (chimpanzee)
Lineage: Eukaryota; Metazoa; Chordata; Mammalia; Primates; Hominidae
Description: processed transcript
Source: RNAcentral